RNAcentral lists this non-coding RNA (32 nucleotides) under Mus musculus (house mouse). Lineage: Eukaryota; Metazoa; Chordata; Mammalia; Rodentia; Muridae. The record is from RNAcentral.
UUGAAGUCAUUAGUUCUCCCCUGGGGACCAAG